This 825-nucleotide ribosomal RNA is filed under the name Triticum aestivum (bread wheat). Its description in RNAcentral is "partial small subunit ribosomal RNA". Lineage: Eukaryota; Viridiplantae; Streptophyta; Magnoliopsida; Poales; Poaceae. The record is from RNAcentral.
AUGGCUUCCUCCUCGGAUGCGAACUCGGCGACCAACGAUGGUGGCGGUAGGGGUGGUUAUGGUGGCGGCGGCGGUGCAAUUGCAGAUCCCGAUCUGGAAAACUUCUUCGACCAGUUGGAUCUCAAUGAGGAAGAAUUUGAUGAUGUGGAGAUUGAUGAUGACGACCCAGAAAUCAAAGAGAGCAUUCGUUGGUUAGCCCUUGCUAGGGUUCAUACCGACAAAACCUUCUCGGCGUCAGCCUUUUACAAGGAGAUGCGGGCGGCAUGGAAUCCAGCACAGGGAGUCAGAUUCUGCCCGGUCGGACCGAACAGAUUUUUCGUCAAGGCCGCGUGCUUGGGUGACUGGGAGAGGAUCAUGAAGCAAGGGUCGUGGUUGUUCUGCAACAUGGCGGUACUGUUGUGUAAGUACGAUGGUUUCAGUCGUGCAGAAGAGGUGGUGUUUGAUCACAUGCCCAUAUGGCUCCAGAUUGACAAGUUACCAGAUCCCUACUGCAAGGAUCACAUAGUUGAGAAACUGCUGAAGGGAGCUGGGGAGAUUUUGGAGAUGCUUUUGAAUGGCAAUACAAGGGGGGACUAUGUGAGGAUUAGGGUUAACCAUAACAUCAAAAUCCCCCUCACUAAGUUUGUCAGUAUUGUGCGAGCAAAGGAGAGGCAGGUGUACUUUGUUCGCUAUGAGAAGUUAGCUCGUUUUUGCAAAGUCCGCGGACUGAUUGGUCAUGAUCAUAAGGAGUGUGGACAAGUGCUACGUCUUGAGCUUGCGUUGGUUUUCCCCGAAGAGGAAGGGAUGAUGCGGCAGAGUAGCGUAAGUAUUUCCCUCAGUUUUUGA